UACGUAGGGUGCGAGCGUUUGUCCGGAAUUAUUGGGCGUAAAGAGCUCGUAGGCGGUGUGUCGCGUCGGCCGUGAAAACCUGGGGCUCAACUCUGGGCGUGCGGUCGAUACGGGCAUCACUUGAGUUCGGCAGGGGAGACUGGAAUUCCUGGUGUAGCGGUGAAAUGCGCAGAUAUCAGGAGGAACACCGGUGGCGAAGGCGGGUCUCUGGGCCGAUAUUGACGCUGAGGAGCGAAAGCGUGGGGAGCAAACAGG
This 255-nucleotide ribosomal RNA is filed under the name uncultured bacterium. RNAcentral describes it as "partial 16S ribosomal RNA". It matches the Rfam family "Bacterial small subunit ribosomal RNA", at positions 524 to 776 of the family's 1533-position model. The record is from RNAcentral.